Molecule: ribosomal RNA, 478 nt
Filed under: uncultured bacterium
Lineage: Bacteria
Description: partial 16S ribosomal RNA
Rfam family: Bacterial small subunit ribosomal RNA
Source: RNAcentral
GACGAACGCUGGCGGCGUGCUUAACACAUGCAAGUCGAACGGGAUUUAGUAGACAGAAGCCUCGGCUAAAGAUUACUAAUGAGAGUGGCGAACGGGUGAGUAACGCGUGAGCAACCUGCCUAUGACAGUGGGAUAGCCUCGGGAAACCGGGAUUAAUACCGCAUAAAAUCGUAGAAACACAUGUUUUAACGGUCAAAGAUUUAUCGGUCAUAGAUGGGCUCGCGUCUGAUUAGCUAGUUGGUGAGAUAACAGCCCACCAAGGCGACGAUCAGUAGCCGGUCUGAGAGGAUGAACGGCCACAUUGGAACUGAGACACGGUCCAAACUCCUACGGGAGGCAGCAGUGGGGAAUAUUGCACAAUGGGGGAAACCCUGAUGCAGCGACGCCGCGUGAACGAAGAAGGUAUUCGUUUCGUAAAGUUCUGUCCUAUGGGAAGAUAAUGACAGUACCAUAGAAGAAAGCUCCGGCUAAAUACGUG